RNAcentral lists this ribosomal RNA (450 nucleotides) under uncultured bacterium. RNAcentral's name for it is "partial 16S ribosomal RNA". It matches the Rfam family "Bacterial small subunit ribosomal RNA", at positions 354 to 796 of the family's 1533-position model. The record is from RNAcentral.
GUGGGGAAUAUUGGACAAUGGGCGAAAGCCUGAUCCAGCCAUGCCGCGUGUGUGAAGAAGGUCUUCGGAUUGUAAAGCACUUUAAGUUGGGAGGAAGGGCAGUAAGUUAAUACCUUGCUGUUUUGACGUUACCGACAGAAUAAGCACCGGCUAACUUCGUGCCAGCAGCCGCGGUAAUACGAAGGGUGCAAGCGUUAAUCGGAAUUACUGGGCGUAAAGCGCGCGUAGGUGGUUUUGUAAGUUGGAGGUGAAAUCCCCAGGCUCAACCUGGGAACUGCCUCCAAAACUGCAUGACUAGAGUACGGUUGAGGGUAGUGGAAUUUCCUGUGUAGCGGUGAAAUGCGUAGAUAUAGGAAGGAACACCAGUGGCGAAGGCGACUACCUGGACUGAUACUGACACUGAGGUGCGAAAGCGUGGGGAGCAAACAGGAUUAGAUACCCGGGUAGUCC